CCCUUAGACGUUCUGGGCCGCACGCGCGCUACACUGACGGAGCCAGCGAGUAUAAACCUUGGCCGAGAGGUCUGGGAAAUCUUGUGAAACUCCGUCGUGCUGGGGAUAGAGCAUUGUAAUUAUUGCUCUUCAACGAGGAAUUCCUAGUAAGCGCAAGUCAUCAGCUUGCGUUGAUUACGUCCCUGCCCUUUGUACACACCGUCCGUCGCUACUACCGAUUGAAUGGCUUAGUGAGGCUUCCGGAUUGGUUUAGAGAAGGGGGCAACUCCAUCUUGGAACCGAGAAGCUAGUCAAACUUGGUCAUUUAGAGGAAGUAAAAGUCGUAACA
RNAcentral lists this ribosomal RNA (328 nucleotides) under uncultured eukaryote. Its description in RNAcentral is "partial 18S ribosomal RNA". It matches the Rfam family "Eukaryotic small subunit ribosomal RNA", at positions 1470 to 1796 of the family's 1831-position model. The record is from RNAcentral.